ACUCUAAUAGUUUACAAAAAACGUUGGUCUUGUAAACCAAAGAAUGAAGAUUCCCACCCUUCAUUAGAGUU
Molecule: transfer RNA, 71 nt
Filed under: Centropus unirufus
Lineage: Eukaryota; Metazoa; Chordata; Aves; Cuculiformes; Centropidae
Description: tRNA-Thr
Rfam family: tRNA
About the family: Transfer RNA (tRNA) molecules are approximately 80 nucleotides in length.
Source: RNAcentral